CUACGGGGGGCUGCAGUAAGGAAUCUUCCGCAAUGGGCGAAAGCCUGACGGAGCGACACCGCGUGGUGGAUGAAGGCCCAUGGGUCGUAAACACCUUUUCUAAGGGAAGAAGAUCUGACGGUACCUUAGGAAUAAGCCCCGGCUAAUUACGUGCCAGCAGCCGCGGUAAUACGUAAGGGGCAAGCGUUACCCGGAAUUAUUGGGCGUAAAGCGUCUGCAGGUGGAGGUGAAAGUCAGUUAUUAAAUACCGGAGCUCAACUUCGGUGCCGUAAUUGAAACUUCAUUUCUAGAGGGUGGGAGAGGUAUGCGGAAUUGUGCAAGUAGGGGUAAAAUCCGUAGAUAUGCACAGGAACACCAAAAGCGAAGGCAGCAUACUGGACCAUUCCUGACACUCAGAGACGAAAGCGUAGGUAGCAAAACGGAUUAGAUACCCGGGUAGUC
RNAcentral lists this ribosomal RNA (441 nucleotides) under uncultured bacterium. Its description in RNAcentral is "partial 16S ribosomal RNA". It matches the Rfam family "Bacterial small subunit ribosomal RNA", at positions 339 to 795 of the family's 1533-position model. The record is from RNAcentral.